UCAGAGCCUCAGUGGGUGAAAUGAGUGCACCCUCAUAAUGAGAGCUGCUAUGUUUGGGAUCUCUCCUUGCUCCUCCAUUCGUGAUCUUACUUUCCUUUUAGUCCUAAAGAUUCAAACACGUGGUGUCAGUGUUGCUCUGAAGCACAGACCGAUUCCCAGGGUCAGGCUAUAAAUUCUUUAACUAAAUCCACUGACAAAUCACCCAGAAAAGCUUUUAAUAUGUUUGCAGGCUUAGCCACAGGAGCAAAGCAAAUUGUUCUUGAGAUCUUCAAAGCAGGCGUGCAGGUUUCACCAGUUCUUCCUCUUGCCCUGGGCAGGUCUGCAAGUCUGCUGGAACCUGGAACACAGCAGCCCUCCUGCCCAGCCACCCCAUUCCUGAGCUUCCUCUCCAUGCAAGAGUCCACUUGUAAAACAAACAACGGGCUGGGAGUUGUGUCUCCCCUUCACCACCAGAGCCUGGCAACCAUGCAUUACCCAACAAUGGUUACCGUGGCUGCAAGGAGGAAGCAGACAGCAAGCCCACAGAAGUGUUUAUUGAAGAAAGGGAAGUCAAUAGUCCCUGGAGUUAAUGAGUGAUUGUUAUUUAUGGAAGGAAUGGUAUUUGCAGAUGGGAAUGACUGCAAAAUGCAUAGAAGGACACAGCCAUGCCCUUUCCACGGAAGUCACAGAGCACACCUCAACACACUGAGAAGACGUCCACGACAGAGAAAGAUGACGAAGGUCUCCUUUCUUCCACAUCGUAGGAGAUUUUCUGCCAUAAACUCAGUUUAUUCUAUAGUUGUUUAUGUCCUCAGCAUUUUGGAGACAGCUGUUCUCAUGAAGUGAAGACUGGCUCAGAUUGUUUGAUUAAUUGCAAGAAUUGUGGAAACGGGAGGAAGAAUUCAUGAAGGAUGCCUCCCUUACCUGUACAGAGUUGUUUUCAUUGAUAAAGGGUUGUGAUCUGUAAAAUGGGGAUAUCGACAUUUGUUUCAGGAGAAUGAGCUUUAUUUGGGCAGAUUUGGCUUUGAAUUCUGUUUCUACCUCUUAGAGAUUGUGUGACAGUUGUUAUUUAAUAUCUGAGUCUCAAAUUUCUCAUCUGUAAACUGAAUAUAACACUUAUACUGAAUGUCAUACUUAUAUUACAAGAUGUCCAUGUUAUUCUAAUCAUGUCUUUUUAGUUUCUGUGUUUUCUGAUGUUUUGGCUUCUGGGGUCUUGCUGAUCCUGGAGAGACUCCCCCUCCCAGGACUGGUCAGUUCCUAGCAGUAGUAAGGGACUCACCUACAAGUGUGCCUUUUGUAUGCAAGCCACCAAUCCAAAGCCCAUGCCCCCACUGACCCCCUUUAUCUAGCUUUCACUUGCAGAGCCACUAUCCCCCUGCCCUAAUCACCCCAGGGACAGAUAUUAAACAACUAGAAAUAGCCACGAUGCCCUAGAGCCCAGUGAAAUUAUUUAAAAUGGGCAAUACUACACCUGCCUGCCUGUCCUACAUUUCCCCCUCACAACCCAUAAUGAAGUCUCUUGCCCACAUUUUCUUCUCAUUCCCUCUGCCUCCUGACCGAUCCUGGUGCUUCCCCACGUGGCCCUGCAUGGCAUGGUGUGACCUCUGCUCUUGAAUUGUGAGUAACACACGCUGUACGUAAUGGCAGUCAUCUCCUGACCCAUUUCCUCACCAUACCUGAAUAAUAAUAAAACCUAUUGUCUCAGCCUAUUUGGGCUGCUAUAACAAAACACUAUAGACUGAGUGGCUUCAACAGUAAAUAUUUAUUUCUCACACUUCUGGAGGUGGGGGAGUUCAAGGUCAAGGCACUGAAAGGCUCAGUGUCUGAUGAGAACCCGCUUCCUGGCUCAUGGACAUCCAGCUUUUCUCUGUGGCUGAAAGAAGCCGAAGCACUCUCUGGGGUCUCUUUUAUAAUGGCACUAAUCCAUUCACAGGUCCUCCACCCUCGUGACAUAGGUGGAGCCCCCAUGAAUAGCCUCACCUCCAAAAGUCAUCACAUUGAGGGUUAGGAUUGUGAUACAUGCACUUGGAGGAGGCACACACAUUCAGUCCACAACACUCAUGAUGUAAAAACACAUGCCCCAAUCUCUGGAACCUGUGAAUGUUACCUUGUAUGGCAAAAGGGACUUCACGGGUGUGAAAAAGACAUGAAUCUGUAGAUGGGAGAUUAUCUUGGGCUAGCCAGGCGGGCCUGGUGUGAUCAUGAGGAUCCUUAGAAGGGGGAGGCAGGAGAUCAGCAUGAGUAGCAGAGGAGGGUGAGGCCACGAGCCAAGGAAUGCUGACAGCUUCUAGAAGCUGGAAGAGGCGAGGAAUGAAUUCUCCCCUGGAACUUUCAGAAGGAAUCAACACUGCCAACACCCUAAUGGUAGCCCUGUAAGGCCUAUUUCUGACACUCUGACCUCCAGAACUGUAAGAUAAUCAAUGUGUGUUGUUUUGAGCCACUAAAUGUGUGAUCAUCUCUUACAGCAACAAUAGGGAACUAAUAUAAGUUUCAACAAAUCAUGAUUAUUUUCACUGUCAAGUACAAUAAUAUUCAGAAUGUGGAAACACUUUUGAAAAGUUAAAGUGUCAUGUGAAGAUUAUUAUUAUCAAAGCUGUUAUUUGUUCUGCUUCCAUUUGAUUCAAGUCCACUGCUUCCAAACUUUGUAUUUCAAUAUUUUAUUAUUGUAUCCAUGAAUGCCAAAGCUACACUUGCAUUCUUUUUACCAUUUCCAAGAAGACGUAUGUCUUAAGGGACAGUUGACUACAGUCCUUGCCCCAUAGGGAUGUAGAUCACUGGCCCCCUAUCACUCAUGGGUCUGUGUCACAUAAGAGACCCAACUACUUGAUCUUGACUCUUGAUUGAAGAUUGAAUAGGAUAAUAAGAAGCGAGAGGAAAAUGAGGUACCCAACAGCCAGUGGCAGAGACUGCAAGGAGUCUCCUAGUAUCUAUUUUCCCCGUAGUCUAUGAAGAUUUUUUACCUGGGCACAUGGCCACUCAAAUGUGGACUACAUUACUCAGACUGCCUUCCAUGUCAGUGUGGUCACUUGACUAAGUUCCAUGAAAUGGAAAGAGAAUUGAUAAAUGCAACUUCAAGGAAAUGUCCUUAAAGAGAAAUGCUGUGUCCUGCUCCAGUUCUUACCUCAUUCCUGCUGGCCUGAUUGCUGAUGUUGACAGUUGACCCCACCCACAACAUGGAAUUCAAAUGUCAAAGAUGGCAAAGCAACAAAAUAGAAGGAUUUGGUUCCUGAAAAUUGUGGAGUCCACAUACCAACAGUUCUGAAUUGUCCAUGGUUAUGUGAAAAUAAACAUCUAUCUUGCCUGA
RNAcentral lists this long non-coding RNA (3283 nucleotides) under Homo sapiens (human). RNAcentral describes it as "HSALNT0324022". Lineage: Eukaryota; Metazoa; Chordata; Mammalia; Primates; Hominidae. The record is from RNAcentral.